Molecule: ribosomal RNA, 442 nt
Filed under: uncultured bacterium
Lineage: Bacteria
Description: partial 16S ribosomal RNA
Rfam family: Bacterial small subunit ribosomal RNA
Source: RNAcentral
CCUACGGUGGGCUGCAGUGGGGAAUAUUGGGCAAUGGGCGCAAGCCUGACCCAGCAACGCCGCGUGAAGGAAGAAGGCUGUCGGGUUGUAAACUUCUUUUAAGAGGGAAGAGCAGAAGACGGUACCUCUUGAAUAAGCCACGGCUAACUACGGGCCAGCAGCCGCGGUAAUACGUAGGUGGCAAGCGUUGUCCGGAUUUACUGGGUGUAAAGGGCGUGUAGCAGGGCUGACAAGUCAGUUGUGAAAUCCCGGGGCCCAACCCCGGGCCUGCAUUUGAAACUGUUGGUCUUGAGGAUCGGAGAGGCAAGCGGAAUUCCUAGUGUAGCGGUGAAAUGCGUAGAUAUAAGGAGGAACACCAGUGGCGAAGGCGGCCUGCUGGACGACAACUGACGGUGAGGCGCGAAAGCGUGGGGAGCAAACAGGAUUAGAUACCCCAGUAGUC